AAAGAUAGCAGUUUUGCACUGUUUAUAUACAACGUUUGAGUGUCCAUCUUAUUUGAAAUUUUUUUAUGAUUAGUAUUUUUGUUAUUAUUAGAUAAUAAAACAUGAGUAGUACUUUAUGUGUGUCUAAUUAUUAUUUUUUUUCAUGUUUUUUUUCAAAUAAGACGGAUGGUCAAAUGUUGGAUAUGGAAAUUCACAAAUGCAUUUAAA
This 207-nucleotide microRNA precursor is filed under the name Oryza nivara. RNAcentral's name for it is "MIR812 microRNA precursor family". It matches the Rfam family "MIR812 microRNA precursor family". Lineage: Eukaryota; Viridiplantae; Streptophyta; Magnoliopsida; Poales; Poaceae. The record is from Rfam by way of RNAcentral.